AUGCUGAGGAGACCCGCCUUCGUUCUGUUGGGUUGCUUGCGGUUCCUUCAGUGUUGGCUACCCGAGCUCCUGUGUCGUCUGCUCAUCUCACUGCUCCACCGCUCCUGCCCACUCCUUCAAGGGGGGCUGACUCGCCCUCCUUAUGUUGAGAAGGGUCGGUCGCGCCGUGACACCUUUUGUGACUACUACUCCAGGUCAGGUCACCCAGAGUCUGAUUGUCGCCAAAAGCAGCGAAACCAGAGCCACUCCUCUUCCAUUGGGACUCCUGUGUUGUCAUCGACUCCGUCACUCACUGACCAGGACAUUGUGCGGCUCAAGCGCCUUCUGGCUUCCUCCAGUUCUUCAUCGAUGGAUUCUGCUGCUGCUGUGACUGCCUUCACCUCUUCAUCACCACCGGCAUCUACACCGUCAGGUACAUCUUCGUGGGUUCUGGACUCUGGAGCUUCCUUUCAUAUGUCCUCUGAUAACCCACAAGUAUAG
This 480-nucleotide ribosomal RNA is filed under the name Triticum aestivum (bread wheat). RNAcentral describes it as "partial small subunit ribosomal RNA". Lineage: Eukaryota; Viridiplantae; Streptophyta; Magnoliopsida; Poales; Poaceae. The record is from RNAcentral.